Long non-coding RNA from Oncorhynchus gorbuscha (pink salmon), 1748 nucleotides. RefSeq lists it as uncharacterized. The transcript is spliced from 3 exons. NCBI's taxonomy places the organism in Eukaryota, Metazoa, Chordata, Actinopteri, Salmoniformes, Salmonidae. The record is from RefSeq and is a predicted model, not a curated record.
UCAGGGUGGGUGAAACACAUUCUGCCCAUCCAAUCUGAACAGGCUGUGUAUACAGAGAGACAUACAGACCACCUCUCGUCCUCUCCACUAUGUCUCUCGCUGUGUCCUGUUCUACAAUUGGAUUAUUGCACUCCCUGUCCCUUCCAAUUCUAGAUAGCUCUCAUAGAUUUAAUAUGCCAGUGGAAUUUGGUAUCUGAGUUAAUUUAGAUGUAAACCUCAUGACAUGUGGCUUGUGACAUCCUGUCUGUCUGUAGAAACAGAGUCAUUAACUCUUUGUGUGCUCAUUAAUGCCUUUCUGUUUAAGCAGAGCUGAGGAAAGCUGAGCUGGACGGAAAUAAAAGACAAAGCAGGUAGGAGUAGAGUACAAUGCAGCAAGCCAAAGUGGAAAGUUGGUGACAACAAUCUUGUUCUGCAGACAGACAGGAAAGUAGAUCAGAGUACUCUUCAGAUGGAACCUGCAGUAGUUACUGAGGAAAGUCACAUCAAAGAAUGUCACGGGAGGUGUACUGUUCAUACAAAUACUGGGAUGUUUUGUUUCCACAGUCUAACAUGUAAUCACACUCAUCAGCAGCACUCUGACAUGGAUACUGUAAUUCUGCUGGAGAGAGGAAAGUCUGCCUUUCCAUGACUUAGAGAAUGUGUUUAUCAUAGUUUUCUUGAUAAAAGAAAUAGAAAACAAUUUGUGCUGUGUUAUUCUGAAUUUGUUAUUUCCAUAUUUUUUUACACAACAAUUAUACUGAAACUUGUAUUUUCUGAACGUAUUAACAUGUCGAGUGGUAAACUAACAAUAUUAUUGAUGGAUGAUUGUUCAUUUCAUACUUAUACAUUUACAAUAACAUUUACAAUAACAUUUACAAUAAAAUAUACAUAUUUUACACGUAUAUUUAGCUGAAAAGAUAAAGAAUAUGUAAAUAAAGGUACUUAAUGAAGCUGAUGAUGAUACAGUAACAGUUACACAAGUUGAAUCACUUCCUUUUCUUUGCAGAACACCCUUUCAAUGGAAAAUACACAAUGAAUAUGAAUCUAUCAAUUUCAAUUAAGCUGCAGAUUUGACAUUCUGGUGCAAACUUCUGGAUGUCUUUGGGUGUGGCCGCCAGUCGGCACAGGAACGCUUGCCACUUCCUGCUACCCCCUCACUUGCCUCUGCCUACUCCCACCCUCAAUCGCCUCCAUGCCAAUCAGCCAAGGCAGCUGUACAAACACCCACAACAACACUGCUACUUCCCUCAAACAAAGUCUUCUGCCAUGACAUCCGUACUGGAGUGGAUUUCCAAAACAAUAAUAAUUAACCAAGCUAAGCUGAGCUGUGCUGACUGAGGGGGGAACAGAACAACGACAAUGUUUUUCAUUGGCUCUGACUGACUUCCAUCCAAUUCAGGCUAAUUGUGAAGUGUACAUACAGGCUGAGGCCAGGGAGGUGCUUCCUGGAGCGUCCCUCACUAAUGGCUGAAGAGGAUGGUCAUUUCAGCGUAAAAUGUAAUGUCCCCCAGCUGUCCAAGCAACAGGGAUCAAAUCCCUCCUCCUCCUUCCUCCAUUCCUCACCCCUCCAUCUCUCAUCCCUCCAUCCCUCAUUCUUUAAUGACCACACUGCAGCCAGCAGAGAUGUCAGCCCAAAGGGCACUCCUCAAGAAUGGAAGCUAUGAUUGUACCAUCUGCUUUAUCCCUGCUCUCCAGUUAAUACAGUAUUCCAGGUACUGACUGACACAAUACACUACUACACAUGUACAAAUCAUAUUGCAUACUGUACA